This 492-nucleotide ribosomal RNA is filed under the name uncultured bacterium. RNAcentral describes it as "partial 16S ribosomal RNA". It matches the Rfam family "Bacterial small subunit ribosomal RNA", at positions 29 to 507 of the family's 1533-position model. The record is from RNAcentral.
AGUGAACGCUGGCGGUAGGCCUAACACAUGCAAGUCGAACGGCAGCACAGUAAGAGCUUGCUCUUACGGGUGGCGAGUGGCGGACGGGUGAGGAAUACAUCGGAAUCUACUUUUUCGUGGGGGAUAACGUAGGGAAACUUACGCUAAUACCGCAUACGACCUACGGGUGAAAGCAGGGGAUCUUCGGACCUUGCGCGAUUGAAUGAGCCGAUGUCGGAUUAGCUAGUUGGCGGGGUAAAGGCCCACCAAGGCGACGAUCCGUAGCUGGUCUGAGAGGACGAUCAGCCACACUGGAACUGAGACACGGUCCAGACUCCUACGGGAGGCAGCAGUGGGGAAUAUUGGACAAUGGGCGCAAGCCUGAUCCAGCCAUACCGCGUGGGUGAAGAAGGCCUUCGGGUUGUAAAGCCCUUUUGUUGGGAAAGAAAAGCAGUAGGUUAAUACCCCGCUGUUCUGACGGUACCCAAAGAAUAAGCACCGGCUAACUUCGUG